Molecule: long non-coding RNA, 543 nt
Filed under: Homo sapiens (human)
Lineage: Eukaryota; Metazoa; Chordata; Mammalia; Primates; Hominidae
Description: non-protein coding lnc-URGCP-2:8
Source: RNAcentral
CGCGGGUUUGCCCCGCCGGAGUAAUCCGGAAGAGGCCUCUUAUUAGGGCUCUGGUGGCGGCGGCGGCAGACACUUGGGGUCUGGACGCAACGGAGGCGGGAGCGUGAACGCCCCUCCAGCCUUCGAGUCGUUCUUGCUCUUCGAGGGCGAGAAGAAGAUCACCAUUAACAAGGACACCAAGGUACCCAAUGCCUGUUUAUUCACCAUCAACAAAGAAGACCACACACUGGGAAACAUCAUUAAAUCACAGUGUGACCUAAAGGACCCGCAAGUGCUAUUUGCUGGCUACAAAGUCCCCCACCCCUUGGAGCACAAGAUCAUCAUCCGAGUGCAGACCACGCCGGACUACAGCCCCCAGGAAGCCUUUACCAACGCCAUCACCGACCUCAUCAGUGAGCUGUCCCUGCUGGAGGAGCGCUUCCGGACGUGCCUGCUUCCCCUUCGCCUUCUGCCGUGAUUGUCAGUUUCCUGAGGCCUCCCCAGCCACGCUUUCUGUACAGCCUGCAGAACUGUGAGUCAAUUAAACCUCUUUUCUUCAUAAAU